Molecule: ribosomal RNA, 461 nt
Filed under: uncultured bacterium
Lineage: Bacteria
Description: partial 16S ribosomal RNA
Rfam family: Bacterial small subunit ribosomal RNA
Source: RNAcentral
CCUACGGGAGGCAGCAGUGAGGAAUAUUGGUCAAUGGGCUUACGCCUGAACCAGCCAAGUCGCGUGAGGGAAGACUGCCCUAUGGGUUGUAAACCUCUUUUGUCAGGGAGCAAUUGGCGCUACGUGUAGCGUUAUCGAGAGUACCUGAAGAAAAAGCAUCGGCUAACUCCGUGCCAGCAGCCGCGGUAAUACGGAGGAUGCGAGCGUUAUCCGGAUUUAUUGGGUUUAAAGGGUGCGUAGGCGGUUUAGUAAGAUAGUGGUGAAAUCCCAGGGCUUAACUUUGGAAUUGCCAUUAUAACUAUUAGACUAGAAUUACAGAGAGGAUAGUGGAAUACCCAGUGUAGAGGUGAAAUUCGUAGAUAUUGGGUAGAACACCAGUGGCGAAGGCGACUAUCUGGCUGUACAUUGACGCUGAGGCUCGAAAGCAUGGGGAUCAAACAGGAUUAGAUACCCUAGUAGUC